RNAcentral lists this ribosomal RNA (985 nucleotides) under Vibrio sp. RNAcentral's name for it is "bacterial SSU rRNA". It matches the Rfam family "Bacterial small subunit ribosomal RNA", at positions 59 to 1024 of the family's 1533-position model. The record is from RNAcentral. Lineage: Bacteria; Pseudomonadati; Pseudomonadota; Gammaproteobacteria; Vibrionales; Vibrionaceae.
CAGUCGAGCGGAAACGAGUUAACUGACCCUUCGGGUGACGUUAACGGCGUCGAGCGGCGGACGGGUGAGUAAUGCCUGGGAAUAUGCCUUGAUGUGGGGGAUAACCAUUGGAAACGAUGGCUAAUACCGCAUAAUCUCUACGGAGCAAAGAGGGGGACCUUCGGGCCUCUCGCGUCAAGAUUAGCCCAGGUGGGAUUAGCUAGUUGGUGAGGUAAAGGCUCACCAAGGCGACGAUCCCUAGCUGGUCUGAGAGGAUGAUCAGCCACACUGGAACUGAGACACGGUCCAGACUCCUACGGGAGGCAGCAGUGGGGAAUAUUGCACAAUGGGCGCAAGCCUGAUGCAGCCAUGCCGCGUGUGUGAAGAAGGCCUUCGGGUUGUAAAGCACUUUCAGUCGUGAGGAAGGUGGUGUAGUUAAUAGCUGCAUUAUUUGACGUUAGCGACAGAAGAAGCACCGGCUAACUCCGUGCCAGCAGCCGCGGUAAUACGGAGGGUGCGAGCGUUAAUCGGAAUUACUGGGCGUAAAGCGCAUGCAGGUGGUUAGUUAAGUCAGAUGUGAAAGCCCGGGGCUCAACCUCGGAACUGCAUUUGAAACUGGCUGACUAGAGUACUGUAGAGGGGGGUAGAAUUUCAGGUGUAGCGGUGAAAUGCGUAGAGAUCUGAAGGAAUACCGGUGGCGAAGGCGGCCCCCUGGACAGAUACUGACACUCAGAUGCGAAAGCGUGGGGAGCAAACAGGAUUAGAUACCCUGGUAGUCCACGCCGUAAACGAUGUCUACUUGGAGGUUGUGGCCUUGAGCCGUGGCUUUCGGAGCUAACGCGUUAAGUAGACCGCCUGGGGAGUACGGUCGCAAGAUUAAAACUCAAAUGAAUUGACGGGGGCCCGCACAAGCGGUGGAGCAUGUGGUUAAUUCGAUGCAACGCGAAGAACCUUACCUACUCUUGACAUCCAGAGAACUUAGCAGAGAUGCUUUGGUGCCUUCGGG